UAGCCUUUAUUAUUUAAUAAAAGAUAUACUUUAAAGAUUUGCUUUUUCAUUUUCUUAUAGGAUGCCAGGUAGAUUUUUACCAAACUAGAAGAUGAAUAAGCAUCAUCUGGAGUUUAUAAUGGUGACUGAUAGCACUGUGAAUCUUUGCCGUUGUGAAGAGGGAUAUUGGUGCAAGUCUUAAGUAAUUUCACACAAUGAAGUUAUGGGGAAAAGAGAGAAAAUGUGUGAAUAAUUUUCUCAAAGUCAAAGAGAAAAAGAACAAAAGAAAAAUGUGAAAAUUACAGCAGCCAAAUAAAUGAAUAAAUUUGCAGGUUUGUUUGUUUCUUUUUUUCUGAAAUUUACUGGUAAUUGAGGAUAAUUUUUGUUUUUAAUUUUGUUUUAGUUAAUUAGAAAAUUAUUGUAAUUUGCCAAUUCAUUUACUUUCUUCAUGUAAACAGAAAUUAACUCUGCUUUAAGUUGUAAAUGGAGUCAGUGAAAUGAAAAUUACAAAAACUUUGUCAUCAACGCUGUUUAUCAAGUAAGUGUAGCUGUCAAAUAUUAUGUAUUUCAGAUGUCACCCUAAACCUGAAAAGAAU
This 575-nucleotide long non-coding RNA is filed under the name Callithrix jacchus (white-tufted-ear marmoset). RNAcentral describes it as "lncRNA (ENSCJAG00000054008.2)". Lineage: Eukaryota; Metazoa; Chordata; Mammalia; Primates; Cebidae. The record is from RNAcentral.